UGAGGAAUAUUGGGCAAUGCCCGCAAGGGUGACCCAGCAACGCCGCGUGGAGGAUGAAUGUCGUAAGAUUGUAAACUCCUGUUAGAGGGGAAGAAUAGUACCGGUUGGACCGGUAUAUGACUGUACCCUCAGAGAAAGCCCCGGCUAACUACGUGCCAGCAGCCGCGGUAAUACGUAGGGGGCAAGCGUUGUCCGGAUUUACUGGGUGUAAAGGGCGCGCAGGCGGGAUAAAAAGUCAGUGGUGAAGUCCUACAGCUUAACUGUAGAGCUGCCUUUGAUACUUUUAUUCUUGAGUUCGGGAGAGAGAGACGGAAUUCCAGGUGUAGUGGUGAAAUACGUAGAUAUCUGGAAGAACACCAGUUGCGAAGGCGGUCUCUUGGUCCGACACUGACGCUGAGGCGCGAAAGCGUGGGGAGCAAACA
RNAcentral lists this ribosomal RNA (422 nucleotides) under uncultured bacterium. Its description in RNAcentral is "bacterial SSU rRNA". It matches the Rfam family "Bacterial small subunit ribosomal RNA", at positions 355 to 774 of the family's 1533-position model. The record is from RNAcentral.